This is a long non-coding RNA of Epinephelus moara (kelp grouper), 303 nucleotides long. RefSeq lists it as uncharacterized. The transcript has 3 exons. The record is from RefSeq and is a predicted model, not a curated record. NCBI's taxonomy places the organism in Eukaryota, Metazoa, Chordata, Actinopteri, Perciformes, Serranidae.
CACACUCUGAGUGAAAUAUGGCUGUCUAUGAAAAUGCAUCAGAGAUCACUGUGGAGAUGAUGAACCUCUCUGAUGCUUCAGCCAGGACUGCUGCCUCCAAGAGUCACAGUGAUGAAGAUGGUACCACAGUGCCCGGAGGAAAACUGCUCAGAUGUGUUGCCGUGAGCUUUUGUCUCCUGUGUUUCCUACAAGUUGCUCUAAACAUUUCCCUCCGUCUUGCUCUCUCCCCUCCACCAGGGAUUGAUGCCAGUUUUAAAAAUCUGACUGAGGAGAGAGACGAGUUGAGGAGCAUCAACCUUCGUA